GAGUGUCUUGCUCCGCCUUCAGCUGAGGUGUGGGCGCAGCCCUUUUCCACGAGGAGCUCUGGUGAACAAGUGCGAGUCCUCUACAUGUGGUGCUCUGCAAGCAAGUGAAAAUAGACUAAGCUCAAAGGAAAGAAAAGCGCUUGAUGACAAUUUUACCAAAAUGCUACCAUGUCCAUUGAUCACCUUUGAGAUUAAAAGAAAUAUUGUGAGGAAGACUGGUGUAUGAUCAGUCAGAUUAAUGAUUACUUAAGGUGAAAUGGAAGCUAAAAAAGAUUCAACAUCAGUCAUCUAUGGAAAAUGAAUAGGUGAUCUUCUAGGUAUGUUCCAAGCUUUAGUAAUUCAUGACCUAAGGAAUAACUGUAGUCAUGAAGUUAAGAUGUAAAUGUUUAAUUACAAUAAUUACCAACAAUGUUUCUGUACACUAUAGUAGAGAAGCUAGAGAAAAGUGUAUGUGAGUGUAAAACACUUAAAGUUGAUAUACAAGAGAAAUGUUUUAUUAAUUUAUUGGAAGAUAUUUCAUUUUUCUCAUACAAAAGUAUUACCUAGUGAUAUCUAAUGACUUUCCAUGUUUUGUUGUUAUUAUCAUUUUGACCUCUUGUGUUUCAUAAUAUGUUUGCAAACAAUUACAUCCAUCUAGGGGAAAUUGUUUAGAGACCUAACAGCCUUCUAUGAGUCAAAAUCAUUUGUGCAUAGAACAAGUAAAAAUCAUUUAACAUAUAGGAAUAUAACAUGUAUAGCUGGUAAAUCUGAAAUUGCUAAUGUAGAUUGCCACUCCAGUCAAUAUAUAUCAAACAUUUCUAUCAAAUGUACCAUCUAUCAUGUAUGUGCAUUGCUUUUGUAGUUUUUAUUUCCCUUUUUAUUGUAGAAAGUAUAUAUUACUGUGACUAAAAACUACUCUUUGGGGAAUACAGUGGUUUCCAGGUCAGUGGAAAUGUGGAUUUAAAUAUUAAAAAGUGGAGUAGUUUAACCCUAGUUUGACCUUUAUCACCUCUCAGGUGAAUUGGGUGUAUUUGAAAGAAUGUAUCUGAAAAACAACAGAAUAGCGAAAAAAUUACAUCUGUGUAACCCUGUGGUCAAUCCAAUAACAGUAUUUUUAAUGAAUAAGUUCAAAACAGUAUACAUGUGUGUAUGUCCACUGUGUCUCUUUGUUUGUGCAUAUUUGUAUUUAUGUACUUAUGUAUUUUCAAUGCAUUGUCUGUCUUGUGAAUAUUUCAGUCUUUCAAGACAUCAUUUGCUUUUUCUACCAAAAUAUCAAUCUCCAUUUAUAUUACUCUAGCAAGUAAACUUCAAGCUUCAAAUAAGUUAAGAAAUACUGCCAUGAAAGCUGGAAAGAAGGAGUCUAAAGACCAACUUAUUGGAAUUCCUGCUAUGGCUCAGUGGGUUAAGAACCUAACUAGCAUCCAUGAGGAUGUGGGGUUCAUUCCUUGGCCUUGCUCAGUGGAUUAAGGAUCCGGUGUUGCUGUGAGCUCUGGUGUAGGUUGCAGACACGGCUCGGAUCCUGUGUUGCUGUGGCUGUGGUAUAGGGCCACAGCUGCAGCUCCAAUUCUACUCCUGGCCUGGGAACUUCCUUAUGCCAUGGAUGUGGCCCUAAAAAAGCAAAAAAAAAAAAAAAA
This 1613-nucleotide long non-coding RNA is filed under the name Sus scrofa (pig). RNAcentral describes it as "lncRNA (ENSSSCG00035059575.1)". Lineage: Eukaryota; Metazoa; Chordata; Mammalia; Artiodactyla; Suidae. The record is from RNAcentral.